CUGCUCCGAGGAGUGUGCUUUCUGAGCGUUUCUUUCUCAGUAACGUACAGUUAUGUUGAGCUGGAUAUUGGCUAUGGCUCCUCUGCAGAGACUGACUCUCUGAGUUGUGCUAUCACCCACGAUGCUGUUGACCUGUUCUGUACUCUACCCAGCCAUUCAGCUUUGGGGCAGGAUUUCCACAGGUUGCCUUUACUGUUUCCUUCAAUUAAAUGUUUUUCAAAGAGCCCUACCUCACCUUUUCCAAAGUCUCAGCUAUUCUUGGAGUUACUGCAGGUAAGAAUGAACAGCACUGAAACUGGUAAGUUUGUCCCAGUGUCCUGUGCUCUGCCAUCCUGUAUCAUUUCUGUUCACUUAUUGUUCCUUCUUUUUAGGCUGUUAACAUCUUGUCCUGUGCUUUUUGCUGACUAGGGGAAUGCACUGCAUGUAACCAACAACAGUCAUCUGCUAAAGGUGAGGGUAUAUAUGAAUCUGUGAGUUUGAAUUUUUUCCUCAAAUACUUCUAUCUUUUAUGAUUUGAAAUAAUUAUGAAGGAUUACUAAAACUUCAUGAUUAAGAGAAAGUUAGAAAGUCUUUUAUUCCUUUACCUUUCUCAUAGGUUACUUUAGAUAGUUCAGCAAAGCUCAUAAUCAGGUUUCUAAGCUACUUUUGUUACUGUAGACUUUCUGGAGUGCCAUGCCCUAGGGUAAGAGCAAGCAGCCUUUAAAGCUCCAAAGUUAACUUUUAACAUCUGUCUGAUGCCAUUCAGUACUGUUAUGAGAGGUUCGUUAUGAAAACCUGCAUCACACUUGCCGGGUCAGGUAAAGUAGAAAGCAAAUCUUUAAUUCUUUCCACAUGAGUUGGUAAAGGAGAAAAAUGAAAUGAUACAAUUUGCCAAAACUCUGAUGUUUAAUUUUUGGUAGUAGGAACAGCUGUGCUGUGCUGUUGUGCUAUGAAAUGAGAAUGCUGUCUGCCAGAUAACGCUCUUCACAUGUGCCAGUCCAGCAUUUAUGCCAUUCUGCACCCAGUGUCCCUUUCUUGGCUUUACUGAUGCUUAGUGAAUGGAGUAGGAGCUGAAUUUGCACCACUUCUGCAUGUCAAAUGUGACUUUCCACCCAUGUUUAAAAGUACAGAUCAUUUCUUCUGGAAAGCACUAUCAGUGCAAUUCACCCGGCCUAUCUUCCAUCAUUUAC
This 1169-nucleotide long non-coding RNA is filed under the name Anas platyrhynchos platyrhynchos (common mallard). RNAcentral describes it as "lncRNA (ENSAPLG00000027937.1)". The record is from RNAcentral. Lineage: Eukaryota; Metazoa; Chordata; Aves; Anseriformes; Anatidae.